UACGUAGGGUGCGAGCGUUGCCCGGAUUUAUUGGGCGGAAAGGGCGCGUAGGCGGCCACGCACGUCCGUUGUGAAAUCGCCCGGCUCAACUGGGCGGGGUCAGCGGAUACGGUGUGGCUCGAGCAAGCUAGGGGGCAAUGGAAUUCCCGGUGUAGUGGUGGAAUGCGUAGAUAUCGGGAGGAACACCAGUGGCGAAGGCGGUUGCCUGGAGCUUUGCUGACGCUGAUGCGCGAAAGCGUGGGGAGCGAUCCGG
RNAcentral lists this ribosomal RNA (253 nucleotides) under uncultured bacterium. Its description in RNAcentral is "partial 16S ribosomal RNA". It matches the Rfam family "Bacterial small subunit ribosomal RNA", at positions 524 to 776 of the family's 1533-position model. The record is from RNAcentral.